RNA transcript from Zalophus californianus (California sea lion), 3004 nucleotides. It is a transcript of the gene named Rho guanine nucleotide exchange factor 39, with no coding region annotated. The record is from RefSeq and is a predicted model, not a curated record. The transcript has 2 exons. NCBI's taxonomy places the organism in Eukaryota, Metazoa, Chordata, Mammalia, Carnivora, Otariidae.
AUGGAGAGGUCGGGCGCCAGCGGACGGUGCCCAGUGCAAGAGCAGCGUGCCCGUUGGGAGCGGAAACGCGCCUGCACUGCCCGGGAGCUGCUGGAGACCGAGCGGCGCUACCAGGAACAGCUGGGGCUGGUGGCCACGGUGCGGCCGCGCGCGCCCUCCCGUAUGGGGCGGGGAGCCCAGGGUAUGGGAGGGUCUCAGCGAGGUCGGUGACCCCGAGUGUGUUGGGUCUUAGGCUGUCCUUCUGCAUGUAGGGAGCUCAGGAAUUCUACGGUUUCUAGCGGCGGCUUGGCAUUAGCCUCCUCUUCCUGCAGACUAUAUACCGGUAUUCUUCCGCAGUAUUUCGUGGGGAUUCUGAGAGCCACGGGCACCCUGCGACCAGCAGAGCGCCAGGCCCUCUUUGGGCCCUGGGAACUCAUAUACGGCGCCAGCCAGUGAGUAGAAGGGGCGUGGGGAAAGAGAAGAGGGAAGGCCCUGGCCUCUGGCAGUGCACGAAGCUUGGAGUGGGGGGAGACCCAGGUUCAUAUACGGAGUCUGCCAAUUACCUCACCUGUGCUCUUGGCCCAGUGCCUUGCCGUGCCCCACCUUCCAUCUGUAAAAUGGGGUAAUACCUCUACCUCCAGGGCAAGGUUAUGAGAAUUCAAUGAGGUGGUGCUUGGUAGUUGUUGGACUGCUCUUUUACUGUCCUCACCCACGCAGAGAGCUGCUUCCCUACCUCGAAGGAGGGCACUGGGGGCAGGGGCUGGAAAGCUUCUGCCCCCACCUGGAGCUCUACACUCAAUUUGCUGCCAACGCAGAGAGGUCCCGGACCACCCUGCAGGUAACCCGAAGAUAAUCUCAAGUCCUUCCCCUCUUGCCCCAUACACUGCCUCUUCCUCUGGAGCUCCAAACUUCAUUCAUACUGUUCCUACAUUUAUAGAGCCCCAUGGGUGUCCGCAUCUGUCCUAGGUUCACUGUAGGGCUUCUCUCAGUAGCACACGGCUUAUAGAGGGCUGGGGGUGUGUACACAGAUGAAUACAAUCUUAAGGAGUGGCUUCUCUCCCUGCUGCCAACCCUUUCCUCAUCCCUCCAGGAGCAACUAAAGAAAAACAAACGUUUCCGGAGGUUUGUGCGACUUCAGGAAGGCCGCCCUGAGUUUGGAAGCCUUCAUCUUCAGGAUCUGCUCCCUCUGCCUCUGCAGAGGCUCCAGCAGUGAGUAAACUCACCUGGACUCAGCCAACUUCUCUUCUCUGAGUCUGUAUGAUUGCUGCUGUCAGCUCUGUGGGGUUUAUGGCUUCUUUCCCAUUGCCUCUCCUGGGACAAACUGCUCCUAAAAACCUCUUGCAAGAGUGUGAACCCACUGGAGUAGCUGGAGUCUGCGGCCUCAGCCCCUUAGCUAGGAAUGUGGAACUCUGCAUUGAAGUGAGGGGGCCUGUAAUAGAGCUAGUGACAAGCAAGGUAUCUGGAAGUUUGUUGAGAUGAGAGGUUUGCCUACCUUAGACUUCUGUUCCUGGGGCUGUUAAGAGGAGACAGUCAGGUUAUCUCUAACAUCCUCCUUGGGUGGAUUAAUUUUCAUUUUGGGAUCUAGACUCCCAAAUUAUGGUCAGUCUGCUCCUGACUCCUCAGUGUGGGAUGGAAGAGGGCCAUGUGGUAAGAGCCCAGGUUCUGAGUCCCAGAUGAAAGAGGGGGAUGCAAUCAUCAGAAGCAGAUCUUUCCUGGCCUUGCAACUGAAGUGUGUGUCGGGAGCGAUCUGUAUGUCAGGCAGAAGGAAUUCUGCCCAGCUCUACUUCCCCUCAUGGACUCCCAGCUGUCUUAAUUCCAGGUAUGAGAAUCUUGUCAUGGCUUUGGCUGAAAACACAGGUCCCAACAGCUCUGACCACCAACAGCUCACACGUAUGUUCUUGCUCCUCUGAAACACAGGCAAGAGGCUGCCUCUCCUGUAUCCCUUUCUGGUUCUGACCAACAAUGUCUGGUAUGUCCCUGUCUUCCAUUGACAUGUACACAAUGUGCCUGUUGCCCUGCCUACUCUCCAAGAGGUUAGACCCUCACCCCAGUCCCCUCCAGAAUAGCCUUUCCCCACCGUCAGUCACCCAAAGUCAAAGCUCUACUGGGAGUAGGGUGGGGGAUGUUUUCCAGGGGCUGCCCGGCUGAUAAGUGAGACCGCCCAGAGAGUCCACAGCAUUGGUCAGAAACAGAAGAAUGACCAGCACCUCCGGCGUGUGCAGGGUUUGCUCAGUGGCCGCCAGGCAAAGGGGCUUACCUCAGCUGUCCUUUCCCCAUGAGAAGCUACUGCUUAUGUGCACAGACCAGGAGGAGCUGUUGCGCUGGCACCACAGUUUGACUCUGGCCAUCAGGUAAGAUGUGCCUUCGCUCAGAAGACUGCUGUGAUGAGGCCCGUGGGCUAGGAAUGAGCAAUUCUAAUCCUAUCUCACGUCUUACACCUGCUGGGCCAUCCCACCCCCAACGCCUUGGGUGAUUUUGUCUGAAUAGAGUGCUCAGGUCAGUGCCUGAACCGUCUUCUCUCCACAGCAGCCAGAAGAACUAGAAGAAUCUUAAAAUUCCAGAACCCAGGAUACUUGAGGGAUAGGUCAAAGCCAGCAGUAUAGAGAAAUCUUCAGUACUAACUAAACAAAACACAGAACGCUUCAUGGUUUGAGAAGGGUCGUUUCAGGUUUGCUUGGGACCAAGCCGUGCCAGCCCUUAAGAAUCAGGAAACCAAGUCCAACCCAGCUGAAGCUCUGCUGAACCAGCCCCUCCAACGUAGAUGAGGGGAUUCAGGACUGAUAAGCUCAGUGCUGGGUCUCUGGCUGCUUGGUUAUCAAGACUGCAGCUUUGUAAAUGUGGAUGUUUUUAUGUUGUAUGCAGUUUCUAUAAUUUAUUUUCCCACUGGAUUUCAGUAAAGUUUUUUUUUUCUUAACCUUUUUGGAAAGGCCUUCCUGUCUCAGCUCUGCAAUAUGAGAAAGAAAGGUUUUUGUGCCCUGGAGGCUGGCAUGAUGGUGGCCUCAGGAAUACAAGGAAAAGAGCUGGA